RNAcentral lists this ribosomal RNA (301 nucleotides) under uncultured bacterium. RNAcentral describes it as "partial 16S ribosomal RNA". It matches the Rfam family "Bacterial small subunit ribosomal RNA", at positions 509 to 809 of the family's 1533-position model. The record is from RNAcentral.
CAGCAGCCGCGGGAAUACGGAGGGUGCAAGCGUUAUCCGGAUUUAUUGGGUUUAAAGGGUCCGUAGGCGGACUUAUAAGUCAGUGGUGAAAGCCUGUCGCUUAACGAUAGAACUGCCAUUGAUACUGUAAGUCUUGAGUAUAUUUGAGGUAGCUGGAAUAAGUAGUGUAGCGGUGAAAUGCAUAGAUAUUACUUAGAACACCAAUUGCGAAGGCAGGUUACCAAGAUAUAACUGACGCUGAGGGACGAAAGCGUGGGUAGCGAACAGGAUUAGAUACCCGAGUAGUCCCUGUCUCUUAUAU